This 30-nucleotide non-coding RNA is filed under the name Rattus norvegicus (Norway rat). Lineage: Eukaryota; Metazoa; Chordata; Mammalia; Rodentia; Muridae. The record is from RNAcentral.
UCAACACUGAGAAAGUACAAAUGUGCUCAC